Molecule: ribosomal RNA, 421 nt
Filed under: uncultured bacterium
Lineage: Bacteria
Description: partial 16S ribosomal RNA
Rfam family: Bacterial small subunit ribosomal RNA
Source: RNAcentral
AAUAUUGGACAAUGGGGGCAACCCGGAUCCAGCCAUGCCGCGUGUGUGAAGAAGGUCUUCCGCUAGUGAAGCACUGUCAGUUGGGAGGCAGUGCUCUAGGUUAAUACCCUGAAGUUUUGACGUUACCAACAGAAUAAGAUCAGGCUAACUCUGUGCCAGCAGCCUCGGUAAUACGAAGGGUGCAAGGUUUAAUCGGAAUUACUGGGCGUAAAGCGCGCGUAGGUGGUUCAGUAAGAUGGGUGUGAAAUCCCCGGGCUUAACCUGGGAACUGCUUUCAUAACUGCUGAGCUAGAGUACGGUAGAGGGUAGUGGAAUUUCCUGUGUAGCGGUGAAAUGCGUAGAUAUAGGAAGGAACACCAGUGGCUAAGGCGACUACCUGGACUGAUACUGACACUGAGGUGCGAAAGCGUGGGGAGCAAAC